GAUGAACGCUGGCGGCGUGCCUAAUACAUGCAAGUCGAGCGAACAGACGAGGAGCUUGCUCCUCUGACGUUAGCGGCGGACGGGUGAGUAACACGUGGAUAACCUACCUAUAAGACUGGGAUAACUUCGGGAAACCGGAGCUAAUACCGGAUAAUAUAUUGAACCGCAUGGUUCAAUAGUGAAAGACGGUUUUGCUGUCACUUAUAGAUGGAUCCGCGCCGCAUUAGCUAGUUGGUAAGGUAACGGCUUACCAAGGCAACGAUGCGUAGCCGACCUGAGAGGGUGAUCGGCCACACUGGAACUGAGACACGGUCCAGACUCCUACGGGAGGCCGCAGUAGGGAAUCUUCCGCAAUGGGCGAAACCCUGACGGAACAACGCCGCGUGAGUGAUGAAGGUCUUCGGAUCGUACAACUCUGUUAUUAGGGAAGAACAAAUGUGUAAGUAACUAUGCACGUCUUGACGGUACCUAAUCAGAAAGCCACGGCUAACUACGUG
RNAcentral lists this ribosomal RNA (497 nucleotides) under uncultured bacterium. RNAcentral describes it as "partial 16S ribosomal RNA". It matches the Rfam family "Bacterial small subunit ribosomal RNA", at positions 28 to 507 of the family's 1533-position model. The record is from RNAcentral.